This 501-nucleotide ribosomal RNA is filed under the name uncultured bacterium. Its description in RNAcentral is "partial 16S ribosomal RNA". It matches the Rfam family "Bacterial small subunit ribosomal RNA", at positions 29 to 523 of the family's 1533-position model. The record is from RNAcentral.
AUUGAACGCUGGCGGCAUGCCUUACACAUGCAAGUCGAACGGCAGCACGGGUGCUUGCACCUGGUGGCGAGUGGCGAACGGGUGAGUAAUACAUCGGAACGUACCUUAUCGUGGGGGAUAACGCAGCGAAAGCUGUGCUAAUACCGCAUACGCCCUGAGGGGGAAAGCGGGGGAUCGCAAGACCUCGCGCGAUUAGAGCGGCCGAUGCCUGAUUAGCUUGUUGGUGGGGUAAAAGCCCACCAAGGCGACGAUCAGUAGCUGGUCUGAGAGGACGAUCAGCCACACUGGGACUGAGGCACGGCCCAGACUCCUACGGGAGGCAGCAGUGGGGAAUUUUGGACAAUGGGGGCAACCCUGAUCCAGCAAUGCCGCGUGAGUGAAGAAGGCCUUCGGGUUGUAAAGCUCUUUUGUCAGGGAAGAAACACCGGCUCUAACACAGUCCGGGAAUGACGGUACCUGAAGAAUGAGCACCGGUUAACUACGUGCCAGCAGCCGCAGUAA